AUUGAACGCUGGCGGCAUGCCUUACACAUGCAAGUCGAACGGUAACAGGUCUUCGGCUGCUGACGGGUGGCGAACGGGUGAGUAAUACAUCGGAACGUGCCCGAUCGUGGGGGAUAACGAGGCGAAAGCUUUGCUAAUACCGCAUACGAUCUACGGAUGAAAGCGGGGGAUCUUCGGACCUCGCGCGGACGGAGCGGCCGAUGGCAGAUUAGGUAGUUGGUGGGAUAAAAGCUUACCAAGCCGACGAUCUGUAGCUGGUCUGAGAGGAUGAUCAGCCACACUGGGACUGAGACACGGCCCAGACUCCUACGGGAGGCAGCAGUGGGGAAUUUUGGACAAUGGGCGAAAGCCUGAUCCAGCCAUGCCGCGUGCAGGAUGAAGGCCUUCGGGUUGUAAACUGCUUUUGUACGGAACGAAAAGCCUCUUUCUAAUAAAGAGGGGUCAUGACGGUACCGUAAGAAUAAGCACCGGCUAACUACGUG
Molecule: ribosomal RNA, 482 nt
Filed under: uncultured bacterium
Lineage: Bacteria
Description: partial 16S ribosomal RNA
Rfam family: Bacterial small subunit ribosomal RNA
Source: RNAcentral